GUCCCCGUAGCUCAACUGGAUAGAGCACCCGCCUUCUAAGCGGGAUGUUGCAGGUUCGAUCCCUGCCGGGGAUGCCU
Molecule: transfer RNA, 77 nt
Filed under: Blastopirellula marina
Lineage: Bacteria; Pseudomonadati; Planctomycetota; Planctomycetia; Pirellulales; Pirellulaceae
Description: tRNA-Arg
Rfam family: tRNA
About the family: Transfer RNA (tRNA) molecules are approximately 80 nucleotides in length. Their secondary structure includes four short double-helical elements and three loops (D, anti-codon, and T loops).
Source: RNAcentral